This 300-nucleotide ribosomal RNA is filed under the name uncultured Tumebacillus sp. RNAcentral's name for it is "bacterial SSU rRNA". It matches the Rfam family "Bacterial small subunit ribosomal RNA", at positions 496 to 795 of the family's 1533-position model. The record is from RNAcentral. Lineage: Bacteria; Bacillati; Bacillota; Bacilli; Caryophanales; Alicyclobacillaceae.
GCUAACUCCGUGCCAGCAGCCGCGGUAAUACGGAGGAUCCAAGCGUUAUCCGGAAUCAUUGGGUUUAAAGGGUCCGUAGGCGGCCUUAUAAGUCAGCGGUGAAAGUUUUUGGCUUAACCAAAAAAUUGCCAUUGAUACUGUAGGGCUUGAAUAUUUGUGAAGUAACUAGAAUAUGUAGUGUAGCGGUGAAAUGCUUAGAUAUUACAUGGAAUACCAAUUGCGAAGGCAGGUUACUAACAAAUGAUUGACGCUGAUGGACGAAAGCGUGGGUAGCGAACAGGAUUAGAUACCCCAGUAGUC